UUGCUUUGGCAGCAGAUAUACUGAAAUUGGAAUGAUAAAGAGAAGAUUAGUACGGCCCCUGUACUGGAAUGACACAUAAUUUUUUGAAGCAUUCCAUAUUUUU
Monodelphis domestica (gray short-tailed opossum) is the source of this 103-nucleotide small nuclear RNA. Lineage: Eukaryota; Metazoa; Chordata; Mammalia; Didelphimorphia; Didelphidae. The record is from Ensembl.